Molecule: ribosomal RNA, 253 nt
Filed under: uncultured bacterium
Lineage: Bacteria
Description: partial 16S ribosomal RNA
Rfam family: Bacterial small subunit ribosomal RNA
Source: RNAcentral
UACGUAGGGUGCGAGCGUUAAUCGGAAUUACUGGGCGUAAAGCGUGCGCAGGCGGAUUGUUAAGCAAGAUGUGAAAGCCCCGGGCUUAACCUGGGAACUGCGUUGGAAACUGAAAGACUAGAGUGCGGCAGAGGGGGGUAGAAUUCCACGUGUAGCAGUGAAAUGCGUAGAUAUGUGGAGGAAUACCGAUGGCGAAGGCAGCCCCCUGGGUCGAUACUGACGCUCAUGCACGAAAGCGUGGGGAGCAAACAGG